RNAcentral lists this ribosomal RNA (497 nucleotides) under uncultured bacterium. RNAcentral describes it as "partial 16S ribosomal RNA". It matches the Rfam family "Bacterial small subunit ribosomal RNA", at positions 28 to 507 of the family's 1533-position model. The record is from RNAcentral.
GAUGAACGCUGGCGGCGUGCCUAAUACAUGCAAGUCGAGCGAACAGACGAGGAGCUUGCCCCUCUGACGUUAGCGGCGGACGGGUGAGUAACACGUGGAUAACCUACCUAUAAGACUGGGAUAACUUCGGGAAACCGGAGCUAAUACCGUAUAACAUGUUGAACCGCAUGGUUCAACAGUGAAAGACGGUCUUGCUGUCACUUAUAGAUGGAUCCGCGCCGCAUUAGCUAGUUGGUAAGGUAACGGCUUACCAAGGCAACGAUGCGUAGCCGACCUGAGAGGGUGAUCGGCCACACUGGAACUGAGACACGGUCCAGACUCCUACGGGAGGCAGCAGUAGGGAAUCUUCCGCAAUGGGCGAAAGCCUGACGGAGCAACGCCGCGUGAGUGAAGAAGGUCUUCGGAUCGUAAAACUCUGUUAUUAGGGAAGAACAAAUGUGUAAGUAACUAUGCACGUCUUGACGGUACCUAAUCAGAAAGCCACGGCUAACUACGUG